Molecule: ribosomal RNA, 253 nt
Filed under: uncultured bacterium
Lineage: Bacteria
Description: partial 16S ribosomal RNA
Rfam family: Bacterial small subunit ribosomal RNA
Source: RNAcentral
UACGGGGGGGGCAAGCGUUGUUCGGAAUUACUGGGCGUAAAGGGCUCGUAGGCGGCCAACUAAGUCAGACGUGAAAUCCCUCGGCUUAACCGGGGAACUGCGUCUGAUACUGGAUGGCUUGAGUUCGGGAGAGGGAUGCGGAAUUCCAGGUGUAGCGGUGAAAUGCGUAGAUAUCAGGAGGAACACCGAUGGCGAAGGCAGGUCUCUGGGCCAUAACUGACGCUGAGAAGCGAAAGCAUGGGGAGCGAACAGG